Molecule: ribosomal RNA, 497 nt
Filed under: uncultured bacterium
Lineage: Bacteria
Description: partial 16S ribosomal RNA
Rfam family: Bacterial small subunit ribosomal RNA
Source: RNAcentral
GAUGAACGCUGGCGGCGUGCCUAAUACAUGCAAGUCGAGCGAACAGACGAGGAGCUUGCUCCCCUGCCGUUAGCGGCGGACGGGUGAGUAACACGUGGAUAACCUACUUAUAAGACUGGGAUAACUUCGGGAAACCGGAGCUAAUACUGGAUAAUAUAUUGAACCGCAUGGUUCAAUAGUGAAAGACGGCUUUGCUGUCACUUAUAGAUGGAUCCGCGCUGCAUUAGCUAGUUGGUAAGGUAACGGCUUACCAAGGCGACGAUGCGUAGCCGACCUGAGAGGGUGAUCGGCCACACUGGAACUGAGACACGGUCCAGACUCCUACGGGAGGCAGCAGUAGGGAAUCUUCCGCAAUGGGCGAAAGCCUGACGGAGCAACGCCGCGUGAGUGAUGAAGGUCUUCGGAUCGUAAAACUCUGUUAUUAGGGAAGAACAAAUGUGUAAGUAACUAUGCACGUCUUGACGGUACCUAAUCAGAAAGCCACGGCUAACUACGUG